Long non-coding RNA from Cydia strobilella, 779 nucleotides. RefSeq lists it as uncharacterized. The transcript is spliced from 3 exons. NCBI's taxonomy places the organism in Eukaryota, Metazoa, Arthropoda, Insecta, Lepidoptera, Tortricidae. The record is from RefSeq and is a predicted model, not a curated record.
UUCUAUUCUUGGCUGGGGCAAUGGCGCAUUGAGUUUGCACAGAAUAGCCAUGCCGCUGCCGCUGCUUCCAGACAUUCAUAGAUUUAAGGGGCUCCAUAAGAAGUUACUAGACGAGUCGGAAAAUGGAUGACCGAUGACUUCAUCAGAAACUCAUUGAAGGCUAUCUAACAUUAGACUUGGUUGGACUAGACCAAGAUUGUCAUCAAUAAAAUUAUGCCCAGUGCCAUCCCUUGUGCUUGUCCUAGGGAUGAAUUAUUUGUAUGAAUUGUUAAACCAGUAUAGAAAAGAAUUUUUCAUUUCUCAUGCUCUGAAAGAGGGUCAUUGUUGUUCUAAAAGGUGCGCAGAAAAUGAUACGUGUCUGCACUAGAGCAUUUUACGUUCGAAGUACGACUUUUUUAAUUUUUUUACGAUACGCAAUUGAAAUUUGAGUUUAAAUGGAUUUGUAAUAAAUUUUUCAUUUUGAUAUUUGACUCUCCAUUCCAUAAAUAACGAUACUUUUGUCUGAAUUGUUAAUUGAAAGUACCCUCAAGAAAUACUAUAAAAAUGUAUACUUAGUCAUGUUUUAAAAAAAAUACAUGCAUUUUACUUUCCUCGUAUUCGAAAUGAAAAGUAGAGUGUUUAACUCGGGUGAAAGGCAUCAUUUCUGCCUCGGACUAUUGGCGCUCUCACUGCAUUCGAGCGCCAAAAUACCUCGGCAGAAAUGAGUGCCUUUCGUCCCUUGGUUAACAAUCUACUAUUGAAGUUUGGGAAGGGAAAUGUAGAACAUGUCUCAGUCUAAG